AACAGCUCACUGGUCGAGUGCGCGGGCAUGGAUAAUAAGCGGGCAUGAAGCGCCUUGCCGAAGCCACGGGCCAUUUUAGGAUGGCGGUAGGGGAGCAUUCCAUUUCCGUUGAAGGCGUGCCGGGAGGCAUGCUGGAGGGGAUGGAAAAGCAAAUGUAGGCAUAAGUAACGAUAAGGCAGGCGAGAAACCUGCCCACCGAUAGACUAAGGUUUCCCCGGCAAUGCUAAUCAGCCGGGGGUUAGUCGGGGCCUAAGGCGAACCCGAGAGGGGUAGUCGAUGGAUAAUCGGU
Molecule: ribosomal RNA, 289 nt
Filed under: Cyclophora tenuis
Lineage: Eukaryota; Bacillariophyta; Fragilariophyceae; Cyclophorales; Cyclophoraceae
Description: partial Bacterial large subunit ribosomal RNA
Rfam family: Bacterial large subunit ribosomal RNA
Source: RNAcentral